CUCUUAUCCCGAGCUGGCGGAGGGACAGGCCCUAUGAAGCCCAGCAACCGGUUUCUCUGUUAUUUAUUAUGUUCAAUUGAGUGAGACAACCAAGGUGCUAACCUGUUGCAAGGUUGUAUGAUUCCUUGAGCGAUAAGAG
Non-coding RNA from Bacillus subtilis, 139 nucleotides. The record is from Rfam. Lineage: Bacteria; Bacillati; Bacillota; Bacilli; Caryophanales; Bacillaceae.